GCCCCCGUAGCUAAAUUGGCAAAAGCGCCCGACUUGGAAUCGGGUGCGGUUGACGCCGUUUGCGGGUUCGAAUCCCGCCGGGGGCA
RNAcentral lists this transfer RNA (86 nucleotides) under Planctomycetota bacterium. RNAcentral describes it as "tRNA-Pro". It matches the Rfam family "tRNA". From Rfam's summary of the family: Transfer RNA (tRNA) molecules are approximately 80 nucleotides in length. Their secondary structure includes four short double-helical elements and three loops (D, anti-codon, and T loops). Lineage: Bacteria; Pseudomonadati; Planctomycetota. The record is from RNAcentral.